UACGAAGGGGGCUAGCGUUGCUCGGAAUUAUUGGGCGUAAAGCGCACGUAGGCGGUUCGUUAAGUCGGAUGUGAAAGCCCUCGGCUCAACUGAGGAAGUGCACCCGAAACUGGCGAGCUUGAGUACGAAAGAGGAUCGCGGAAUUCCCGGUGUAGAGGUAGAAAUUCGUAGAUAGUCGGGGAGGAACACCGGGUGGCGAAGGCGGCGAUCUGGGUCGAUACUGACGCUGAGGUGCGAAAGCAUGGGGAGCGAACAGG
This 257-nucleotide ribosomal RNA is filed under the name uncultured bacterium. Its description in RNAcentral is "partial 16S ribosomal RNA". It matches the Rfam family "Bacterial small subunit ribosomal RNA", at positions 524 to 776 of the family's 1533-position model. The record is from RNAcentral.